UAAUUCUUAUAGCGUAAAAGUUAAUUAUAUUCAUAUAUACUAUAAAGCAAAUAACCAAAGCAUAAAAUUUCUUUUACAGUGACACUUGGGCCCACAUCUAACCAAAAUGCAUCGAAAGCUGAAAACCUACAGCUUUUACCGAUUCGAGUCCAAAUGAAGGUCCUUGUCAAAGUCAGCUAACUAUGGAAUUUCCCGAGCCUAAAAUAUGAGGAAAUGAGGGUGGUGAGAUUAUAAAAUCCCAGUGAGUAAAUAGAUACCAUCUAAACUAUCUAAAGUCGAGUAAAUGGAGACAAUUAAAAUAAGUCAUCAUAUUGUAAUUUCAUUACCUUUCAACUCAUUUCAACCAAAUAAAAUCAAUCCAUAUAAAUUGAGUAAUCAACUUGGCUUAUGAAUUUCUUAAAACUUUGGCUCAUGCCAAAACUCAUACUCGGUGAUACCUUGCGCAGGGCAUCCAAUCAAGUUCGCCAAGGCUAUUAAAAUUUUUGUAUACACUUAAAAUAUAUUUUUAGUUUGAGAAAAAUACAGUCGUUCCUUGGCGUUGGCUAAGUUCCCUUUCACGUGGUGGUUUGGCGUGAAGUGAACCCUAAGCUUUACCUCAGGAGAUACCCUACGCGCCUCUCCGUUCAAGGUAAGAAUAUAAUGGAGUUUACCGUGCCCCUCUAAUAGGCUGGCCCAUGGAACCCCCUCUGCAGUGAAUAAUUAAUAUAUACUCCACCAAUCAAUAAAAUUCAUUCUAGCAUGACAUGAUAAUUUAUCGCAACCUAGCCUCUCAAGGCUGAAUACACAAUACAAAUAAUUCUGACACCAAAAUCAAUUUAGCCAUUCAUGCUCAUAUAUUGUCAUAAGCCAUUCAAUUUAAAACCAUAAAUUUACAAUACAAGCAGGCAGUCUCCAAUUACUCUAUUUUCAAAAUCAGUAUUCGAUUUUUCCAGAAAAUUUAUAAAAUCAUUUUAUAAAAUCGUAAUUUCUCUUAAAACAUAGCAAUUUACCAUUUAAACUCAUUUUUUUAUAAAAUCACACAAUUGUAUAAAACUACUCUAGAUAAUUAAGACGAGAAUAAGUUCACUCACAGUUCUAGGAGUCGAUGUACUCCUAAUCUCAGUCUCCAAGCACAAUCUUUGUACUUUUACCAGUGUACUUUGCUCACCACCUAUCCACAAUGUACAAUACAUAAUUCACCACAUCAAUGCUUGACCAUUAUAAAAUCAAUUCAGGCUCGGUAUAUAUGCAUGAUAUGAUAUACAACUUAUCCGACUACCGCUUAAAUGCGGUGCUGACCUAAUUCGGCCUAUUACCCGAUUAAAUUACUAACGCGUCCAAUUUAAUCUCAAAUUAAUUUUUUUCAGUUUCUAUACCUCAAUUGCACCCAAAUUGACUUAAUGUCCCUCAGUGUGGUGCAAAUUAUCAGUCCCAACAGCAAAUUACGAAAAUACCCCUAGUGGGUAAAAAUUCGUAUUUUUGCUCCGAAAAUUCCCAUUAUUUUUCUAGGCUCAUAAUUCAUCAUUCCUUAACCAAUUCUCCUAGAAUAAAAUCAAACUCAUCCUCACUCACUACAUGGUAAAUUCAGCCAUUAAUGGUUGGGGGAGAAAAUAAAUUCUUUUCUUGUUGUUUUGUUUCUAAAUAUGCUAAACUAACUAAAAACACUAACAUAAAUUAAAAUCAAAUAAAUCCAACAACUUUCUCUCUCCUAACCCAUUUUUUCAGAAUUGAAUUCAUCAUGAAAACAUGUAAUUUAAUCAUGGAAAAUAAAGAGAAAUGCUUGGGAAUAAGAAAACUCAAGCUUAAUAGAAAAAAUCUCACCUUUUUCACUUAAUUUCCUUGAAAAUUCACACUUUUUCUUUGAUUUUCUCUCUCCAGGGUUUUGUUUUUGUUUUCUCUCUCUUCU
This 1885-nucleotide long non-coding RNA is filed under the name Theobroma cacao (cacao). RNAcentral's name for it is "long non-coding RNA (TCAC_LNC005815)". Lineage: Eukaryota; Viridiplantae; Streptophyta; Magnoliopsida; Malvales; Malvaceae. The record is from RNAcentral.